Molecule: ribosomal RNA, 498 nt
Filed under: uncultured bacterium
Lineage: Bacteria
Description: partial 16S ribosomal RNA
Rfam family: Bacterial small subunit ribosomal RNA
Source: RNAcentral
GGACGAACGCUGGCGGCGUGCCUAAUACAUGCAAGUUGAGCGCUGAAGGUUGGUACUUGUACCAACUGGAUGAGCAGCGAACGGGUGAGUAACGCGUGGGGAAUCUGCCUUUGAGCGGGGGACAACAUUUGGAAACGAAUGCUAAUACCGCAUAAAAACUUUAAACACAAGUUUUAAGUUUGAAAGAUGCAGUUGCAUCACUCAAAGAUGAUCCCGCGUUGUAUUAGCUAGUUGGUGAGGUAAAGGCUCACCAAGGCGAUGAUACAUAGCCGACCUGAGAGGGUGAUCGGCCACAUUGGGACUGAGACACGGCCCAAACUCCUACGGGAGGCAGCAGUAGGGAAUCUUCGGCAAUGGACGAAAGUCUGACCGAGCAACGCCGCGUGAGUGAAGAAGGUUUUCGGAUCGUAAAACUCUGUUGGUAGAGAAGAACGUUGGUGAGAGUGGAAAGCUCAUCAAGUGACGGUAACUACCCAGAAAGGGACGGCUAACUACGUG